Molecule: ribosomal RNA, 218 nt
Filed under: uncultured bacterium
Lineage: Bacteria
Description: partial 16S ribosomal RNA
Rfam family: Bacterial small subunit ribosomal RNA
Source: RNAcentral
UACGGGGGGGAGCAAGCGUUGUUCGGAUUUACUGGGCGUAAAGGGUGCGUAGGCGGUCGUGACAAGUCACUUGUGAAAUCCCGGUCCGCUUAACUCGGAACGGUCAAGUGAUACUGUCGGACUAGAGUACAGAAGGGGCAACUGGAAUUCUCGGUGUAGCGGUGAAAUGCGUAGAUAUCGAGAGGAACACCUGCGGCGAAGGCGGGUUGCUGGGCUGA